This 840-nucleotide ribosomal RNA is filed under the name Xanthoparmelia coloradoensis. Its description in RNAcentral is "eukaryotic LSU rRNA". It matches the Rfam family "Eukaryotic large subunit ribosomal RNA", at positions 81 to 936 of the family's 3401-position model. The record is from RNAcentral. Lineage: Eukaryota; Fungi; Ascomycota; Lecanoromycetes; Lecanorales; Parmeliaceae.
CAGUAACGGCGAGUGAAGCGGCAACAGCUCAAAUUUGAAAUCUGGCUCCUUCGGGGUCCGAAUUGUAAUUUGUAGAGAGUGCUUCGGGCGAGACCUCGGUCUAAGUCCAUUGGAACAUGGUGUCAUAGAGGGUGAGAAUCCCGUAUGCGACCGUGGCUCGAGCCCAUGUGAAGCCUCUUCGACGAGUCGAGUUGUUUGGGAAUGCAGCUCAAAACGGGUGGUAAAUUUCAUCUAAAGCUAAAUACUGGCUGGAGACCGAUAGCGCACAAGUAGAGUGAUCGAAAGAUGAAAAGCACUUUGGAAAGAGAGUCAAACAGUACGUGAAAUUGUUGAAAGGGAAGCGCUUGCAACCAGACCUGCCCGUAGGCGAUCAGCCGCUGUUCUCAGCGGUGCACUCGCUCUGCGAUCAGGCCAGCAUCGGUUUCGGCGGCCGGAUAAAGGCCUUGGGAAUGUAGCUUCCCUUCGGGGAAGUCUUAUAGCCCUCGGUGCAAUGCGGCCAGCCGGGACCGAGGACCGCGCUUCGGCUAGGAUGCUGGCGUAAUGGUUGUAAGCGACCCGUCUUGAAACACGGACCAAGGAGUCCAACAUCUAUGCGAGUGUUUGGGUGUCAAACCCAUACGCGGAAUGAAAGUGAACGGAGGUGAGAACCCUUAAGGGCGCAUCAUCGACCGAUCCAGAUGUCUUCGGAUGGAUUUGAGUAUGAGCAUAGCUGUUGGGACCCGAAAGAUGGUGAACUAUGCCUGAAUAGGGUGAAGCCAGAGGAAACUCUGGUGGAGGCUCGCAGCGGUUCUGACGUGCAAAUCGAUCGUCAAAUUUGGGUAUAGGGGCGAAAGACUAAUC